GCCCGCCUAGCUCAAUCGGAUAGAGCGUCAGACUCUUAGGUGGGAUUCAUGUUCCGUAUUAUCUGAAGGCUGCGAGUUCGACCCUCGCGGUGGGCU
Non-coding RNA from Termitomyces sp. Mi166#008, 96 nucleotides. NCBI's taxonomy places the organism in Eukaryota, Fungi, Basidiomycota, Agaricomycetes, Agaricales, Lyophyllaceae. The record is from the annotation of a GenBank genome assembly.